GAUCCGUCUGUAGCAAUACAGGCGGGUCGGAGCGGCGCAAGGGUGCGUAACACGUGGGUAAUUUGCCGUAGAGUUCGGGAUAACUCGCUGAAAGGCGAGCUAAUACCGGAUGUGGUUACCGGGAGGCAUCUCCUGAUAACUAAAGCUGGGGACCUGGGUCACACCGGGCCUGGCGCUCUAUGAUAAGCCCGCGGCCUAUCAGCUAGUUGGUGAGGUAACGGCUCACCAAGGCUUAGACGGGUAGCUGGUCUGAGAGGACGACCAGCCACACUGGAACUGAGACACGGUCCAGACACCUACGGGUGGCAGCAGUCGAGAAUUUUUCUCAAUGGGCGCAAGCCUGAAGGAGCGACGCCGCGUGGGGGAUGAAGGGUUUCGAUCCGUAAACCCCUGUCAUUUGUGAACAAGGUUCAUCCGUUAAUAGCGGGUGAAUUGAUAGUAAUGAAAGAGGAAGGGACGGCUAACUCUGUGCCAGCAGCCGCGGUAAUACAGAGGUCCCAAGCGUUGUUCGGAUUCACUGGGCGUAAAGGGUGCGUAGGUGGCAUGUUAAGUUUGAUGUGAAAGCUCAGGGCUUAACCCUGAAAUGGCAUUGAAUACUAGCGUGCUGGAGGUUUGGAGGGGGGACUGGAAUUCUCGGUGUAGCAGUGAAAUGCGUAGAUAUCGAGAGGAACACCAGUGGC
This 680-nucleotide ribosomal RNA is filed under the name uncultured bacterium. Its description in RNAcentral is "bacterial SSU rRNA". It matches the Rfam family "Bacterial small subunit ribosomal RNA", at positions 68 to 716 of the family's 1533-position model. The record is from RNAcentral.